This 427-nucleotide ribosomal RNA is filed under the name uncultured bacterium. RNAcentral's name for it is "partial 16S ribosomal RNA". It matches the Rfam family "Bacterial small subunit ribosomal RNA", at positions 355 to 774 of the family's 1533-position model. The record is from RNAcentral.
UGAGGAAUAUUGCGCAAUGGGCGAAAGCCUGACGCAGCGACGCCGCGUGGAGGAUGAAGGUCUUUGGAUUGUAAACUUCUGUUAAGUGGGAAGAAAAAACUGUUUCUAAUACAAACGGGAAAUGACGGUACCACUAAAGAAAGCACCGGCUAACUUCGUGCCAGCAGCCGCGGUAAUACGAAGGGUGCAAGCGUUAUUCGGAUUUAUUGGGUGUAAAGGGUGCGUAGACGGCAUAUUAAGUCCGCUGUUAAAUUUCCCGGCCUAACUGGGAGCCAGCGGUGGAUACUGAUGUGCUAGAGGAUGGAAGAGAGAAGUGGAAUUCCCGGAGUAGCGGUAAAAUGCGUAGAUCUCGGGAGGAACACCAAUGGCGAAGGCAGCUUCUUGGUCCAUAUCUGACGUUGAGGCACGAAAGCGUGGGGAGCAAACA